This 348-nucleotide unclassified non-coding RNA is filed under the name soil metagenome. Its description in RNAcentral is "partial contains 5.8S ribosomal RNA, internal transcribed spacer 2, and large subunit ribosomal RNA". The stretch from base 1 to 120 matches the Rfam family "5.8S ribosomal RNA", at positions 35 to 154 of the family's 154-position model. The record is from RNAcentral.
GAUGAAGAACGCAGUAAAAUGCGAUAAGUAAUGUGAAUUGCAGAAUUCAGUGAAUCAUCGAAUCUUUGAACGCACAUUGCGCCCGCUGGUAUUCCGGCGGGCAUGCCUGUUCGAGCGUCAUUUCAACCCUCAAGCCCCCGGGUUUGGUGUUGGGGAUCGGCUCUGUCCUUCUGGGCGGUGCCGCCCCCGAAAUACAUUGGCGGUCUCGCUGCAGCCUCCAUUGCGUAGUAGCUAACACCUCGCAACUGGAACGCGGCGCGGCCAUGCCGUAAAACCCCAACUUCUGAAUGUUGACCUCGGAUCAGGUAGGAAUACCCGCUGAACUUAAGCAUAUCAAUAAGCGGAGGA